AGUGAACGCUGGCGGUAGGCCUAACACAUGCAAGUCGAACGGCAGCACAGUAAGAGCUUGCUCUUACGGGUGGCGAGUGGCGGACGGGUGAGGAAUACAUCGGAAUCUACUUUUUCGUGGGGGAUAACGUAGGGAAACUUACGCUAAUACCGCAUACGACCUACGGGUGAAAGCAGGGGAUCUUCGGACCUUGCGCGAUUGAAUGAGCCGAUGUCGGAUUAGCUAGUUGGCGGGGUAAAGGCCCACCAAGGCGACGAUCCGUAGCUGGUCUGAGAGGAUGAUCAGCCACACUGGAACUGAGACACGGUCCAGACUCCUACGGGAGGCAGCAGUGGGGAAUAUUGGACAAUGGGCGCAAGCCUGAUCCAGCCAUACCGCGUGGGUGAAGAAGGCCUUCGGGUUGUAAAGCCCUUUUGUUGGGAAAGAAAAGCAGAAGGUUAAUACCCCGCUGUUCUGACGGUACCCAAAGAAUAAGCACCGGCUAACUUCGUG
RNAcentral lists this ribosomal RNA (492 nucleotides) under uncultured bacterium. Its description in RNAcentral is "partial 16S ribosomal RNA". It matches the Rfam family "Bacterial small subunit ribosomal RNA", at positions 29 to 507 of the family's 1533-position model. The record is from RNAcentral.